CCCUGAGGAGCGGAGAGCUUCAUUUUAUGUGGUUUCCCUGUCUCGGUGCUGCUCGUGUCCGCUGCGCUGUCGUACGCGUGCGUUGGUCAGCGCGCCUCAAAGAGGAAUCCGCCACGCCUCUCGGCGAACCCGCAUCAGCGUGCCGCUUUUGGGGGGAUAUUCCGUGUGCGUUGGGGUACCUUGCUACUCGUCGCGCUUGCUGCCUUAGCUACAUCGACUUUUUCUUUUGCGCGCUCCCCUACGCGCGCUCGUGUAGGAAUCUGCACGUGCGCAGGUGUAGACGUGCGUCGACGUGUUUGGGUCAGCCCAUCAUCGUCUGCUCGAGGGACGGUCUAAGACAUCCCUCUGCCUCGUCAUCGCCUGCCAACGUUGACCCUCCUUCGUCGAGCCGGCAGCCAUGGGCAUCUUCACGCUGUUGUCGUUCUUCUACGGUGCCGUCGGUGGUGCGACGAGCUUCCUCAUGUUCUUCUUUAUCAUCUUUCGUAAGACCGAGAGCGUUCUCUCCGACACGGUGCGCAAGAAGGCACUCAAGCACGCUGAGUUUGACGCUGUCGCCAAGGAGGCCGCGGUGGUGGCUCCCGCCAAGGUAGAGACGCUGUGCAAGAUGGUCCGCUUCGACGACGGCAUCGUCGGCGAUGCGAUUCAAUGCCGCAUGGUCUUCUACGGCAGCACCAUCGACGUGUAUCAGGUGGACAAGCUUCGCACGCUUCCAGAUCACCGCCACGAGGUUGUCUCGGAGCACAUGCUGGGACGCAUCAACCGCGCCUGCAUCAUCGCCACCUCGCAGCGCAUUUCCAAGUACCACCGCCACCGCAACCAGAGCACGCGCUAUGCCGCCAUCAAAGGCAAGUGCACUGUCCUGAACCACAAGGACGACAUGCCACUCUUCCUCGAAGAUCCGAACGCGAUCCUGAAGGAGCGACUGCGGUGCAUCAAGGAGCAUCAGGCGCAUGAGGCCAUGAUGGAGCGCCUGUGCCGCCGAUUUCGGCGUGACAGCAGCCCGAUGACGGAUAAGGAAUUCGCGGUGGAGAUGAAGGGUACGCAGGACGGGGCGUACGAUGAGAGGUCCGAUCACUUCGACACAGCGGCAAGAGGCCUAGGCUACCAGCACGAUUUGAUGGGCAUGAACACCGCCGCAACGAGCUGCCGUGGCGCCUCCAGCCUGUCGGCGUUGAACUUGCCGUGUUGCAGCUCCGGUGCCUCGGCAGGGCGCUGCAGUAACGACCUGUCGCCAGGGGCGUUGGAGGAGGCGCCACUGUCGAAAUGGACGUGCGUGGCGAUCAAGUUCCCAACGCGGCGUGUGCAGGAGCGAUGGCUCAACCUGCUGCAGUCGACGCCAGAGUCAGCGCAGUGGCACGACUUCAUCACCCACCUGCCCCAGGUGGACGUUUUCAACCUCCUCAUUGCCCGUCUCUUCUUUGAGAACUCGCGCGCCAACACGCUGCACGACUUACUGGAGGAGAAGCUCAAGAAGAAACUAGCGCGUGUGUCGAAAUCGCUGCCGCCGAAGCUGCGCGGCAACAUUUUCCUCGACUUGCUGGACGUCGGAGGCGAGAUUCCGCUAAUCAGCAACGUGAGCGAUCCGGUGUCAUCGACGUGUGGCGAUACCGAGUUCGACUUCGACGUGCUCUACCGCGGUGGCCUCGCGCUGAAGAUUCGAUUCUCGGUCCUGUACCGCGAGAUCCGCGUACCGGACAUCAUCUUCAGUAUCAAAGUACUUGAGUUGGCCGGUCGCAUGCGCUUCGUCGUGGGGCCGCCGCCGACGCGCAAGUUCUGGCUUGGCGGGCCGCAGCCUCCGCAGCUGAGACUGGAGUUCACGCAGGAGGUUGCUUCGCAUGAUGGCAUUCUGAAUGCGGUUCUGAGGCUGCUGCCGGACAUGAGCAAAAUCGCGUCGAAUAUUGUGAAAGUGCUUCUAUUCGAGGAUAUGGUGUUCCCGAACAUGGACGAUUUCCCGUGGCCUGUCUUCGGCGAGGACAGCGACGACGACGACUCUGCCACCGCGUACAGCGACCUAGCGGGCGCGGAGAAUGCGCAGAACAGCCGUCUAGCGUCACUCGGAAGCGCCCGGAACACGGGCGACGCCGGCGGUGACCGAGAACGUCGUGGCAGCAGCUGCAACAGCACCGCCGGUAGCGCUGUCAGCGAGAAUCGUGGUGUCCAGAACAGCGCGACGUCCGAGAUGCCCUCCGCACCACCGCUGCGGCCGAUACCGCAUUCCACCUCGGCUCCUAGCAUAGGGGUACCACACCCGCACUCCGGCAGUUUCGGUACCUUUGACCGUGACCAUGACGCGGGUGCGCCGUCGCUUACUCGAUCGCCUCUGCUUCAGCCCUCGCUAAGGGCCGACCCGGCGUCGGCAAUCAGUACGCUGCCCCAUGGACUACCGCCGCGACCACCGCGGGUGGCAUCCUCUGGAUUCCUGCACGGGACCGUCGCUCGUGUCCCAAAGUCACGGGCGCCGAGGUUGUUGGGCAGCCCCGCGCCGUCGGGGCCAAACUAGCGAUCUCCGUACGACAGCGCUGACGAUGCUUGCCGAAGUACCUCUGACACCUCGAGCGAUGGUAGAAGGUGCGGCAGGCGGGGUCGCUCCUGCUUCCGCGAUGCCCCGCCGCCAAAUCCGUCAUGAUGUGCAACUGUCGGCGACGAGCGUUGCGAAGUGAGGUGAAAAGAGCACCCAUUCGCACACGCUGCGGUUGUGAAUGCGAGUGCAGCGUCAUGGAGCAACAGCGGUUGGCCCAGGCGCACGCUCUUCGUUCGCUGUGCUCCUCUGCCUCGAUGCCUUAGCCGCCACCAGCAUCAUCGCUGCCGCUGUCGUGCGGCGUCACUGCCAUGCUAUUCCCGCACACCCUCUGCUUUUCAUACGUCGCCGCGCAAGCGGUGCUUUAUACCUGUGCGCCUCUUUUCAUGCAGAGGGGAGGGGGGAAGAAGGUGGGGGAGCACGCUUACAGAGAUGUGCACCAAUGCCCGGGAGCGCACAUGCGCGUGCUGUGCACUCUCGUUAGGUGCUCCUCACGCUCUCGCCUCCUUCCAAACGGC
This 3036-nucleotide unclassified non-coding RNA is filed under the name Leishmania donovani. Its description in RNAcentral is "gene:LdHU3.12.1530(CDS-product:Putative_integral_ membrane_protein_conserved_region_(DUF2404)_putative)". Lineage: Eukaryota; Euglenozoa; Kinetoplastea; Trypanosomatida; Trypanosomatidae. The record is from RNAcentral.